GGAAGGAUGGCAGAGCGGCUGAAUGCGGCGGUCUCGAAAACCGUUAUGCCGGUAUUCCCGGCAUCGAGGGUUCAAAUCCCUCUCCUUCCGCCA
This 93-nucleotide transfer RNA is filed under the name Coriobacteriia bacterium. Its description in RNAcentral is "tRNA-Ser". It matches the Rfam family "tRNA". Rfam says of the family: Transfer RNA (tRNA) molecules are approximately 80 nucleotides in length. Their secondary structure includes four short double-helical elements and three loops (D, anti-codon, and T loops). The record is from RNAcentral. Lineage: Bacteria; Bacillati; Actinomycetota; Coriobacteriia.